Molecule: ribosomal RNA, 505 nt
Filed under: uncultured bacterium
Lineage: Bacteria
Description: partial 16S ribosomal RNA
Rfam family: Bacterial small subunit ribosomal RNA
Source: RNAcentral
GACGAACGCUGGCGGCGUGCCUAAUACAUGCAAGUAGAACGCACAGUUUAUACCGUAGCUUGCUACACCAUAGACUGUGAGUUGCGAACGGGUGAGUAACGCGUAGGUAACCUGCCUGGUAGCGGGGGAUAACUAUUGGAAACGAUAGCUAAUACCGCAUAAUAUUGAUUAUUGCAUGAUAAUUGAUUGAAAGAUGCUAUUGCAUCACUACCAGAUGGACCUGCGUUGUAUUAGCUAGUAGGUGAGGUAACGGCUCACCUAGGCGACGAUACAUAGCCGACCUGAGAGGGGGAUCGGCCACACUGGGACUGAGACCCGGCCCAGAAUCCUACGGGAGGCAGCAGGAGGGAAUCUUCGGCAAUGGAGGAAAGUCUGACCGAGCAACGCCGCGGGAGGGAAGAAGGUUGUCGGGUCGUAAAGCUCUGUUGUAAGAGAAGAAAGGGUGUGAGAGUGGAAAGUUCACACUGUGACGGUAUCUUACCAGAAAGGGACGGCUAACUACGUG